GUCGUCGGCAAGUCCGUGGAGCGUCUUAAGUCGCGAUUUCACAGCAAGCUAUCAGCGACUGACGACAGACAACUAGCGAGCCAGGGAAUAGGAGUAAGGGAACGGGCUGCAGUGGAUGUUCCGAAAGUAGGAGAGGAGGAAGCACGUACCCACUUACCUACGGCGUAUCAAUCACCUAUCGCGUAUUCACCACGGGCAGCUAAUCACG
RNAcentral lists this unclassified non-coding RNA (208 nucleotides) under uncultured fungus. RNAcentral describes it as "sequence contains ITS1". Lineage: Eukaryota; Fungi. The record is from RNAcentral.